Molecule: unclassified non-coding RNA, 424 nt
Filed under: uncultured fungus
Lineage: Eukaryota; Fungi
Description: partial contains 5.8S ribosomal RNA and internal transcribed spacer 2
Rfam family: 5.8S ribosomal RNA (bases 1-133)
Source: RNAcentral
UGGCUCUCGCAUCGAUGAAGAACGCAGCGAAAUGCGAUACGUAAUGUGAAUUGCAGAAUUCAGUGAAUCAUCGAAUCUUUGAACGCACAUUGCGCUCUCUGGUAUUCCGGAGAGCAUGCUUGUUUGAGUAUCAGUAAAACACCCUCAACUCCUUUUUUUCUUGAAGGAAAAAAGGGGUUGGAUUUGAGAGAUCCCAACGGACAGCGCUGCUGACUGGCGGGUCACUUGAAAUGCAGGUGCGGCUGGACACAUCUUCUGAGCUAUAAGCAUUACUCAUUUAAUCCCGUCAAACGGAUUAUCUCUAUUGCUGCAGCUAAUUUCAAAGGUUGAUUGUCCUCUUUUGCCCGACUGAUGCAGAAAGACAAAGGGAAGUCAUGAUCCCUCUGUUCAACUCGAUCUCAAAUCAAGCAAGAUUACCCGCUGA